UUCCAUUAAUACCAUCAAUGGAGAAAUGCGAAGAUAUUGUGGUUGUAGGAGGGGGAGUUGCAGGGCUAGCCACUGCACUUGCUCUCCAUAGGGUGGGGUUGAGGAGCCUGGUACUUGAGCGUGCUGAUUGCCUUCGAACUGCUGGCGCUGCCUUCAUGAUGUGGCCUAAUGCCUGGAAAGCACUUGAUGCUCUCAGCGUAUCAGAUUCCUUUUCGCCCAUUUUACUCUCAACUUGACGGGAUUCGGGGCUCUUCAAAUUGCAUUGGUGUCUCCAAGAAUGUCCCCCUGAAAAGUGUAGGC
Cryptomeria japonica (Japanese cedar) is the source of this 300-nucleotide long non-coding RNA. RefSeq lists it as uncharacterized. The record is from RefSeq and is a predicted model, not a curated record. Lineage: Eukaryota; Viridiplantae; Streptophyta; Pinopsida; Cupressales; Cupressaceae. The transcript is spliced from 3 exons.